UACGGAGGGGGCUAGCGUUGUUCGGAAUUACUGGGCGUAAAGCGCGCGUAGGCGGACCUGCAAGUCGGGUGUGAAAGCCCCGGGCUCAACCUGGGAAUUGCAUUCGAGACUGCGUAGCUAGGGUGCGGAAGAGGGAAGCGGAAUUUCCGGUGUAGCGGUGAAAUGCGUAGAUAUCGGAAGGAACACCAGUGGCGAAAGCGGCUUCCUGGUCCAGCACCGACGUUCAGGCACGAAAGCGUGGGGAGCAAACAGG
This 253-nucleotide ribosomal RNA is filed under the name uncultured bacterium. RNAcentral's name for it is "partial 16S ribosomal RNA". It matches the Rfam family "Bacterial small subunit ribosomal RNA", at positions 524 to 776 of the family's 1533-position model. The record is from RNAcentral.